Molecule: ribosomal RNA, 636 nt
Filed under: Takamangai cf. saccata SD JS3-03
Lineage: Eukaryota; Metazoa; Nematoda; Enoplea; Dorylaimida; Qudsianematidae
Description: SSU rRNA
Rfam family: Eukaryotic small subunit ribosomal RNA
Source: RNAcentral
GGCGAUCAGAUACCGCCCUAGUUCUAACCGUAAACGAUGACAACCAGCGAUUAAUCGGCGUUAAUAUACGACCCGAUUAGCAGCUUCCGGGAAACCAAAGUUUUUCGUUUCCGGGGGAAGUAUGGUUGCAAAGCUGAAACUUAAAGGAAUUGACGGAAGGGCACCACCAGGAGUGGAGCCUGCGGCUUAAUUUGACUCAACACGGGAAAACUCACCCGGCCCGGACACUGUAAGGAUUGACAGACUGAGAGCUCUUUCUUAAUUCAGUGGGUGGUGGUGCAUGGCCGUUCUUAGUUGGUGGAGCGAUUUGUCUGGUUAAUUCCGAUAACGAACGAGACUCUGGCCUAUUAAAUAGACGAGAUAUUCUAAAGUAUCUCGCGCUUCUUAGAGGGACAAGCGGCGUCUAGUCGCAUGAAAAAGAGCAAUAACAGGUCUGUGAUGCCCUUAGAUGUCCGGGGCUGCACGCGCGCUACACUGAAAGAAUCAGUGGGCGUUAUACCUGGUUCGGAAGAACUGGGUAACCCAAGUAAUUUCUUUCGUGCUUGGGAUAGGGAAUUGCAAUUAUUUCCCUUAAACGAGGAAUUCCCAGUAAACGCGGGUCAUAAGCUCGUGUUGAUUACGUCCCUGCCCUUUGUA